GCCACAUAUUAUGUAUUGGUCACCAACAAUCAAAUCAUUUAUGCCUAUCAUCAACACUUGUGACCAUCACCUCACCACUGCCACUAGUCGCAUCGCCGUCGAAACAUCGCCGCUAGGAACACCACCAUCUCCUGUAGCAAAACCAUCAUCCCAAAAUCGCAACCAAAUAUCACCAUCGUUAGCCUACCACUUCACAAACACAAGCCCCACCAAAAAAAAUAAUAAUAAUAAAAUAAAAUAAUCCCAAAUCUGCUGUCGAGCACUUACCACCACCACCAUCUUCGCUGCCACCUACUACAAACUAUCAUGUUCAUCUUCAAAACUGUCGCUGCCACCUCACUGCUACUACCAUCGACAAAACCAUCGCCACUGCCACCUCACCACCAACAACCAACAAAAAACAACAACCACACAACUCCAGUUAAGCAAAUUAGAUUGGAAUAGGAGGAAAUCACCAAAAAAAAUCUGGUAUCGAUUUCGCAUCUGGCCACAGGCAGUGCGCCAUCUUACCGACAACACUACUAUUACAACAAUAGCAGCGUCACUAUCAUUGUUCUCUGGUAAUUACAUCGCAUCUGGCUAUAGGCGGUGCUUCUGAGAUGGCACAUCGUUGACAACGUUGAUGUCACUACACUAUCGCGAGUUCGCAGAAAUGCUAGGCGCUGUUGCAACAUCUACUUACCGAAUGACUAUUGGGACGUGGUGUGUGAGAAAGAGUACUUACUGAACAAGAACUAGGAGUGUGGAGUGAGAGAGGGGUAUGGUGGCUUGGUGAAUAUAUUAGGGUUUGGGAUUUAGGUGUUAGAUGAGG
This 811-nucleotide long non-coding RNA is filed under the name Olea europaea subsp. europaea. Lineage: Eukaryota; Viridiplantae; Streptophyta; Magnoliopsida; Lamiales; Oleaceae. The record is from RNAcentral.